GCAUUAAUGGGGUAGUGGUAACCUGGGUCGUUGCCAUCUCGAGCAAAAAGCUCGACCCGCCGGGGGUUCGAUUCCCCCUUAAUGCA
Molecule: transfer RNA, 86 nt
Filed under: Psilocybe cubensis
Lineage: Eukaryota; Fungi; Basidiomycota; Agaricomycetes; Agaricales; Agrocybaceae
Description: tRNA-Gly
Rfam family: tRNA
About the family: Transfer RNA (tRNA) molecules are approximately 80 nucleotides in length. Their secondary structure includes four short double-helical elements and three loops (D, anti-codon, and T loops). Further hydrogen bonds mediate the characteristic L-shaped molecular structure. tRNAs have two regions of fundamental functional importance: the anti-codon, which is responsible for specific mRNA codon recognition, and the 3' end, to which the tRNAs corresponding amino acid is attached (by aminoacyl-tRNA synthetases). tRNAs cope with the degeneracy of the genetic code in two manners: having more than one tRNA (with a specific anti-codon) for a particular amino acid; and 'wobble' base-pairing, i.e. permitting non-standard base-pairing at the 3rd anti-codon position.
Source: RNAcentral